This is a non-coding RNA of Anas platyrhynchos (mallard), 11751 nucleotides long. The record is from RefSeq and is a predicted model, not a curated record. Lineage: Eukaryota; Metazoa; Chordata; Aves; Anseriformes; Anatidae.
UUGAAGGCUUGCGUUGGGCUCCUGGCCCUGAGGCAGCUUCGCUAGGCUCAAUUCCCUGUUGUCCUGCACUAAGCUAACCAGAAGGUUUCUGGGGAAAUGUCGGUGGAGCUCCACUACCGCAAAAUCCAGCACAGCUGAGUCAUCACAUCUGCACCACUCGGAUCUGCUCCGUCUCCGCGUGAGAUGAGAGCUGUUGCAAUGCAGCCACAUAACCUCUGAGCGUGUUGUGAGUGUCACUUCCUCCACAAAAUAAAACAAAACCCAACUGCAGAGCCCUAGGGGCCAUUGCUCAGGGAUGCAAGAUAAACAGUGGCAAGCACAAUAUGCUGAUAUGGGCAACGUGAGAAGCAACCUGACGUGGUCUACCAGGCACUGACCUCAGACAAGCAAAGACCCCAUAGAAAGGCACAGACGUGUUGUAGCUUGGGUGCCUGCAACGUGGUCUGCUGGGGAGUGUAUCGUGCUGAGUUUCUGUCCCUUUUGGAGGUCUGAUUUCAGGGAGAGUGUGGAUCGGGGCCCUGCUGCCUGGAAAGAAAGGAGUCCCUGCUUCGGUGCAUUUCAGGCCAAAUACGUUGACAAAUAGCAGAGCCUGCCGGUCUUCAAAGAACAGCCCUUGCCUUGGCACAGAGGGGCACAGCCUAUCACUUCCCUUCAAAAAGAGAUGUUGCCUCAGCAACCAAAGUUUUGAAGUCAGGCAAAGUUCUGGAAAAAAAAAAAUGUACACCAAAAAACAACAAUUGCGAUGGGAAAUGACACUCAGGAACAAAUGUACGACGUUGCCAUGGCAGCCUGAAUACUUGCAUGGAACUUGGUGUUUUGAAAAUAUAAAAAGACUGUGCUUCAAGUGAGUCCAAGUAACUUAAUGCCUUUGUCAGGUAGCUGCACAAUGCCAAGUGUCUGGUGUUUAUAUUUUAUACCUGGCGUGCGAAUGACUCUAGUGCUUCUGAAAUGGGAGCGACUUCUGCUCUCAAUUCGAUGGAGGACUAUUUCAGACUGCAGGCUUUGCUGGGUUGCCUGGCCUGGUAUUGAUCUGUUGGGGUUAUUUCUGUCGUUUGAAGUCCGUCGGUUCUUGGUUGUCUUGGUUUCCAUGUCUGUGUUUUAUCUGUUAUUUCAUUUGAUGCACUUAUCCGACAACGUCUGGGAAAAAAAACAAAACAAAAAAAAAAAAACAGUAGGUGAAUUGUUCAGAAACAUGGAUUUUCUUCCUAGUCCCACAAUAAUCCAUGCCUUGCCUCUGAGCCAUGAAGUGCAUGAGAGGCUUUCAGGGGGCACAAACUGCUUCAUCCAGCUCCUAGAGCAGAACCAGAAGUGAUUUUUCUCUGUCGGAUAGGUUUCUUCCCCUAACUGCAGUGAGGAAGAGGAAUAAGUAGCCUAGGCUGUAUUCCAGUGCCUGUUUUAUGGAUGGUCUUUGCAAACCCGAAGGAGGGAACCAAGGCCACCUGAAGUUCUGCAAGUCUAGAGGACCAAUAAUCUGGAGCUCAUCACCUAUCUCUAGAUAGGCUUGAAUCUCCUGGCAUUUGACAUCUAUUUGGUAGGGCUUUCUGUGGCCUUGAAGGGCACAAAGAGAGAAGGAAACCAGGUUUUAGUGACCUCUUGCUAUUAUCCUUCACCAUCUCAGGGAGACAGCCCUCUGGUAAAAGCAGUGCAGGUAGGAAAAGGUCUGUGUGAUGCAGAACCAGAAAAGGGCUGAUAUUAUGUGGACCAGCCACUGAUCCAGUGCUGAGAAGUUUAAAUCCUAAAUGAUCAACAGGAAAGGGAAGGGUUCUCAGCACCUAACUGAGAAACAGGCUGGGACCCCAACACUGCAAUCUGUUCCUUUUUGGUAGACUCUUACUGAGAGGUGAGCAUGGGGACAGUUCUCCCAGCAGGGCAGAUGCCUUUGGUAGAGCCAACCCACUGCUGUUGGGUGGAAAACAGCCUGGCUGAGGACUCACCAUGCUGUGAGUGCCAAGAGGCCAGCGAUGGCCCACUGCGUGCCAUCCCGGGUUGGGUACGUGCACAGAGAACCGUGCCAUGGGGACUUCCCACUCCAGGCUGGACCACAGCUCAGAGGUCACGUUCCACCAUCAUCAGUGAACUCUUUGUUUUCUCUUGUCUACUGGAGAGUACGUUUCUAUUGCCCAAUCCGUCCUCGCCUUGCAUCAUCUCUGGUUCUGCUUUAUCUGUGCUGGCCUCCUCCCCGUUGCCCUGGGUGGUCCGGUGUUGGCUGCUCUCACUUGCAGGCUGUGCGGGAGGGGUCUAAUUUGGAGAGGGAGCGGGGAUUUCUGUGCAUCUUGGCAGGAGCUCAAGCCAUGUGCCCAAAGCCUGCAUCUCCCGGGCUCUCUUCCCCGGGCCACCACACUGAAAUUCCCACUCCCCUGGUCCACACGCACACCUCACCCCGCGCUGCUCCUCUCCAAUUAGAGCAUUAAGAAGAUAGUUUAUGUCAAGCACUUUGGAGAGGACGUCUCUGUUCUUAACUUAAUUAUUUGGCGUUACAAAGGUUUCUAGCCUCUCUCUCCCCCUUGACAGUUUUAUUAUGGAAAUAUUUUUUACUCUGGGCUCUCUCCUUUGUGUUUCUCUAUGGCGUUUACAAUAGGGGCUUCUCAGUGCUUGUUUUCAAGUAGCUCAAACGAGAGAUCAGUUUCAGACAAAACACGCAGCUGGCUCUGAGGAGAGGAACGGAGAAAUGCUGACUGUUUCACAGAGACAUGCUGUGCUCAGCUCCAGCACCCCAGCAUCCAGUCCCCACACCUUCCCUUUCUUCUCUUGGCCUUGAUGCCUGCAGCAGACUCAAGGGAGAGGACCAGCCUCGUGCUCUGUGCCAGGUCUCUCUUCACAGCUAUGCCCUCCCAAUGUUAUUUGGGACCAUGGGGCUAUGAGCUUCAUCCCUCAUGGGAAUGCCCUGCGGGUAUGAGUCUGGAUCUGAGCCCUAAAGGCUUCUCCAGAGCCAUACCCACAAGCACUGCAGUACGCUGAGCCUCCUCCUAGCAAUGCCUGGCUUCUGGCAGGAAGGACAUACCAGCUUUUGGAGCUGUGCUGCUCUGCCUAGAUUCUGCUUCUUGCCUACGGUGUGUGCAGAGCCUUGCAAAUGGGCAGAAAGAUGUGGUACUGACCGGGCAGAUGAAGAAGUGCUCCAGGGAAGGGUGAGAGAAGAAAUGGAAAGUGAGGUCACUUUAAAUGUUUACUUGAAAUGGAGCCCUUGAUCUGAGCUUGUUUGAUGUCCAUGGCAGUUUUCCUGGAGAUUAAUUCCACAGUUACACCAUAAAAACUGUAUAAAAUCCAUAAUCACCGGCACAUUUGGGAUUGUGCCACUUUACAAGAAGAGCACUUGCUUAUGCUCAAGCCUACAGUAAUUCCACUCAGGAGACAUAUUUUGUGCCAUAAGGGUGAAAUAUGUUUCUGAGACCCAUACUUUACAGAUUUAGAGGGACAGAAACCACUUCUCAAUCUACAGAAAAAAAAAAAAAUAAUAAUAAAAAAAAAAAAACAACUACUUUUGGCAAACAUCAUUUACUGAAAUUAAAGUAUCACCCUUCCCACUGCUUUUUGUUAUUUUACAUACAACAGGUUUGUAAAAGAGCAUCACAGUUUGAAGGACAGUAUGAAGGACAGGGCGUUAAAAGAUGAUGGUAUGGACCAUGGCCUGAGCAGGUCAUCCUGCCCCAGCAGUGAAAGCUUGCAGGGAGCAGAAUUCAUGCAGGGCUUUCAGAUAAGGAGUGAAGGUCGAUUUCAUGUUGGUGUUUUUCCUGAGGUUGUAGUUUCUGUCUGGAUUAAAAGGGAUGAGUAAAUCUGAAUUGGUGGGAAUGAAGCAGAAACAGUUUCCUAGAAAAGUCCCAGUGGAUCCAUGGUGGUUACUUUGCUAAUAUUUUAUUGCUCAGGGUUGACUCAUUCUGUCCAGAGUGGACCUGAUCGGCAGUGACAGAGUCUGCCUUGCAGGACAGAGCCUGGUGACGUGGGUUUUUCUGGGAUGAUGGAGAUGGCCAUGUGCCAUUGCCUUCAGCAGUUCCUCACAGGACCUGGAAGUAAGGCUGCUGCAGGUAGGAGGUGUUGUGUUACUAAGCAGCUGCCUGCAGUUUUGGUGCAUUGGUUCAUUGGUUGUGGUUUGAUGCAUCUAGCAUGCGCAAAUGUGCGUGCAUGUGCAUGCUUGCACUCAUCUUUAAGUCAUAAAUCACCAUGCCCCUCAGCCAAAGGAAACUGUCAUUCCCAAAUACCCCAGAGAACUGCCAGCUGAAAACACUACCAGCAUAAAUAACCAUGGAGACUUUCAGUUUCCCACAUCCCAACAUAGGGAUAUGGCUACAAUUUCUCACCAUCCUUAAUUUUAAUUUUAAUUUUAAUCUUUUUUUUUAUUAUUAAAAAAAAGCACCCAUGGCUGAAUUAAACCCUGCUUUCUGGUCUCAGCAGCUGGCACAAACAUUUAUUUAUAGUGUGUAUAGAGAUGUGCAGAACCAGCUGUCAGCCAGCCCACAGGCUCUUGCAACUCCUGGAUUGCUGCUAAGCUGGAGCUGUAGAAAUUAACUGUAAAGUCAUGGAAGGCAGAGAGGGAGGCUGAAGGUCACACCAGACCUUGGCACCAGAGGGGAGAGUGGCAUCGCUGAUAGUGCCAAAAAGAAGGAAGGGCGGACGAGGGAGGAGACAUUAGGUGUUUGUUAGUGGUUGCCAAAAAUUAUGCAGGAGGAAAUAUGAGAAAGGUCAUAGGAAACCUAAGUCAAGAAGGAAGAUUGGGAAAAGGACACUGCAGAGAUGUCAGAGCAAAGGUGGUAGAUGAGGGGACAAGACCAGGGUUGUAGUGGUGGAAGCAGCCAAUGCAGGUUUUGGAUGAGGGGUGAGGCAGGUCCAGCAGACUAAGGCAGGGCUCAUUACCAUGUGCCAUCAGGCUAGUGUAGGGUUGUCCCAGCUGUGGACAGCACAGCAGUCCUAGGACAAACAUCAGGACAUAGGACCAGUGCAGGCAGGCGUAUAUUUGGAGCCAUGGGUCACAGACCACCUUGGAUCAGCAGGCUGUAUCUGGUAGGACUUGGUGUCCAGGCUGGGGAGGUAAAACUAGAAGACACGAGCAGUGACAGAGCAGUGUGAGCAGGGUUGGGUUGGGGCCAAACACAGCUUGCAACCAUUAUAAGAAAUGCUGCUGCAUGCUCAUGCUAAACAGAUGCCAGCUUUUGGCCAGCCACAUGGAUGGCUGAGUUAGAACAAGUGCCAGCACACACCAUAAUAAGCACACCACGGAACAGCACGCUUAGUCCCUGGCCUCCUCUACAUCACUGGGGCCAUUAGUCCUUAAACGUAGGGACACUGGUUACCAGGAUAUAUGGGGUCCCACUGGACAUUUGCUCUCCAUCUAAAUCUUAUCUAUCCUCCAGCAAGGCAGGAUACAAUACCACGAGGUAGUAGGGCUACAUACAGAACAGCUCCUUGCAUCCAGGGCACAGCCUUUAUGGGUUGGACCAGGUGAUCUUGGAGGUCUUUUCCAACCUUAAUGAUUCUAUGAUUCCUGCUUCUUGCUUAUGUUCCUGAGGGCCUCUCAUCUGGCACUGCACUGGUCUGUGCUUCAUUUGCAACCAUAUGUUAAUGGCCAGUGUGAAAUGCAAUGGUAAAGUGGGGUUUCCAGCUACGAUUUCCUCAAGAGCUCUCAUCCCAGAAGGCAAGCCAAUGUCUCCUCUUGGGACUGGUUUGCAUCCAGCACUGAGCCCAAAAACACUGUGCAGAGGUGGUGGCACCAUAGCUCUCCACAUCCAGGAGAACUUGUGGAACAUGGCAGGAAAAGACUGAAGUGUGCUGAUGAAGAUAACAUAAAGGAAGACCUAAAAUCAGAAAGGAGGAGGGAAGCAUUAUUGCUAAGUACCUAAGCCAUCAGGAUGGACCUGGAGUACAGCAGAGUGGAACAAGUUACGGCAGGUAUACUAAAAUAAAUGACUCAGAAAAAGGUCAGUCAUACUUGAUUUGCCAGAGCCAAUUUGUAGGCUGUGACACGCAGCAGUGACCACUUUCAGAUGAUUCGUUUUGAGGCAACUGUGAAUUUAUUGUCUUGGGAACCAUUGCCCUGAGAGGCUUUCAGGCAGUGACGUCUAACUGUGAGGAGAGUGAAUUUCAGUACAAAUGGGGUGAAGGGAGCACAGGCAGAGGCCUUUGCAUUGUUGGUAGAUGACCCUGGUCAGCAAAUGAAAAAUUUCACUGAAUUUUAAAAGAUUUUUUUUUCCCCAAAACCUUCACAUUCCUAAUCUUUACUUCAUACCAGAGAAGAGAAAUAUGCUAGGACUUCAGAAAACAAAACAGAAUGAAAGAAAACAAAAAAACAACAACCCUUUGUAAUUUUCAAUAUCACAUUUUCCACCAAAACCAGGAAUGAAAAUUGGUGAAGAUGGCUAUCCAUCUUGGCAGGAAGAAAACAGCUCAUCUCUAAACAUUUUAAAGGAAAUUCAGAUGGCUUUUCACAGCAGUGUUUUACCAUGCCAUGUCCCAUGUCUCUCAUCUUGCACAAAGGGUCAUUCCAAGAAGACCCACUUAGGACACCCUUUGGUAACAACAUCCUCCCAGUAGGGUCUUCCUAGGACAGCCCAGAUAACAGAACAAAACAUUUCUUCUAAAAACAGCUCUCAGACAGUCUCUGGGCACUCUCCGCCUGGUUAUAUAAGUGGCUUUUGAGUACAAAAUGUGGUUUGGUCAUUGCAAACUCCCAUCCUUAAAAAAAAAAAAAAAAAAAAAUUACGUUGGUGCUUCAUGGGGAGUGUUUACUCCUGCUUCCCUGAGUUCCAGCCGUCAAACAAAUGGGUUUUGCUUAAUGAAAAGCACUCUGCAGAACAGCUCCCUUAGCUGGGAGAUGGGGGGCGAGGAAAGGAAAUAAAUAGGGAAAGAAGAGAUGUAUUUCUUCUUCUCUUUGAACUGCAGAUUUGUAGCAGCAUCCCCCAUUCUGCAAAUUUGUUAUACAUGGAGUUGUUUGACUGCAGAGUUAAAAUCCAUAAAACAAACUAAUUCAUUUUAAGCUUCUCACAUGGAUCUCAAAAAGAACAAGAUAUUCCUUGUGUACUGCAGCACAACGGGGAGCCUUUUGUUAUUUAAUUUAUUUAUUUAUUUAUUUUUAAUUCUUACCCUGGCUGGGUGGGAUGCAUUUCUGAAGCUAACUGUACCCCUUUCUUGUCUGAUCAGGACUCUUUGCUUCAUUGUAGAGAGUAAGUCCAGUUGAGCGGAGCUGGGAACUUUAGGGAAAAGGGUCGUGUUGCCAGACAGCAGAAAACACAGACUUAGCAGAGGGAUGGUUAACAUCAGCCCUGACCCUCUAAAUGAAUGUUCUCAAAUAUAAAUAUCAAAGAUUUAAAAAAACACAGAUCUUGACUAUUAAAUGGAGUCAGACUGUUUAGGAACUGUUCUGAAGAUUGAUGCCGGUGUUGUAGCAGCCUUCAGACAAUGGUUCCCAGCCCUUUUUGCUCUUCCACUGUGCUUGCUCUGGCUCUAUGAAUGGUACUGCUCACACAACAGUCUCAGCACAGCCAUACUCCACAUAGUGUUCUCCGAGAUCCUACAUACUGAAGGAAUGGGAGCAAUUACUGAAUAAAACUACAUAAACUGAUAAAGAGUGGUUGCAUUCAAAGAAGUGAGCUGCAAGAUGAAAAGAACACCAUUUAGCAGAUCCAUUCUUCUCCCUCUAUGCAUCCAGUGUGGUGACAGAAAUCAGAGCCAGGAUUUCCAAAGCAAGUUAAUGUUAUUUGUAUUAGAAGAGUUGAUGUAAAUGUAAGAUCACACCAACAGCCAUAGUGGUGCAAACCGAAGACCCAACUUUCCUUUGUCUUUACCAUUGGGCAAUUUUACAUGCAUAGGAAAGAGUAGAAAAUGAGUAUAUCACGAGCGCUCUUGCACAAGGAGAACCCUGCCAAAAAACAGUGGUUAUGGGAAAUCCUGAGCUGAGAGGUGCUUCUGGGUGACUACGUUUAAUAAUCACUGGAGAACCCUAUAGCUUCCACAACACCUCAGCAAGAAGUUCCACUGUGAAAUAACGAGCACUUUUUGCCAAGAUUCAGAAUAUUUUUGCUGACGUCAUUUUAACUAUGAUUUUAUACUUGACAGUCUUGAAAACAUUGUAAAACUAUAGGAGAGCAAACUGGAUGCUGUUCUGCAUGUGUCGGAUUGUGAACUGAAAUCAGGGUUCCAGCUUAGACACUUUAUUGCUAGAGACAAAAAUAUGUCAGGCUGAGUUACCACCCAGAAGCCUGGUGAUGAGCAAAAAAGCCUCCCAAACAUCGAGGGGACAGAGAAAGCAAAUAACUCCAAAUCCUGUUAUUGUUACUCAUAAAUUAGAAUAUUUCCUAAGAUAGAAAUAGAAUAUUAGAAUAUUUCUAAGAAACAAUAUGCAAAGAUAUUUUCAUAGAGUGUUUUUGCACAGCACAUCAGUCCUCAAAUUUAUUACCAAAAAAGGUGUUUCUUGGUGCUUUUGAAAUGUUUUUUCCCAAAUCCGGGUAACACAGGAUUUUCAGGUGGUCAUAAAUAUUUAUUUGGCCAGUGAGUGCAUGGGAUGCCAGUGUUAUGGAGCCAAAUGACAUUCCUACAGCUGGUACUGAGCUUAGCCAUGCAUGCAGGUGAAGGCAGCUGUGGAGCUUUCAUCUUAUGAAAAUGUUCCUAGAGAGAUGGAAGAAGGAGAGCUUUAAACAAUGUUGAGGAAAGAGGGUCAUGUGGGAAUGAAAUGUUUCACACGAUAAGCAAAAUCAAAAUAAUAAACCAAAUGUUAGAAAUGAACAAAGCAACAGAAAGAAAAACAAGAAAUAUUUUGAAAUAAGUAAGUGCAUCCUCAUGGAGAUGCCCUUUACACAACCUAGAGCCAUGGGUUUUGCUCUUUGCUCACCAUUUAAGGAGCUCUUUGCAUUAUCUGUGCAUCAUUGCAACAUUGAUCCUAGUAUGCAAUGAGUAAUUUUGUUUGCUUUCAGUGAAAAGCUCCAGCCCCCUAGCUUGGUUACUACAGCCUUGUUCUUGUAACCACUCUUGAGAUGGUGCCUGAUAUUGUUCCACUUAUUCAUUAAUAACAUGUGUUGUGGCUUCUUCUGAUGUAAACAUUAGCAAAGCUUUCAUGAAGUUUUUAAUAAACUUAUCCACCACUGCAUGCAUUAAAAUGAAAAAUUAUCGAUGACCCCUUUUGCAAGCCAUUAAUGAUGACAUGCAAUUUAGCUGAUGAAUCACAAGUUUGCUGUAGAUUUAGGCUAUGUUUGUGUCCGUCUCAGUGGAGUCUGUCCCCUACUUCUCCAUGGUAACUGCGCCGUCUUUGACAUCACUAGCCAAAAUAGAGCAUGGAGGUUAUAAAAUCCUGAGGGGGUGUGGGAAGGGGAAUGGUAGAGGCAGAAUGAAAAUACAAUUCAAUAAAGGAAACUUCUUAAUGCUUAAGGCACUGGACUAUGUCAGGCAAGGGAUGUCUGAAAUCUGAGAAAUGGGGACAUCAGCAUUACAGGGCUAGAAGUUUGAGUACGGUUAUUGAGACUAACAUGGAAAGCAAAAUAAUCUGUGACUCCUUUUGGAGAGAGUCAUGAUUCAUUCAAUACAUAUGAUUUUCUUUUUUGGCAUGAGAAAUCCUCUCCAUCACAAUGAGGGUAGAGGGCCCCAUGUUGGGAGUCAAGAAAGCUCUUUGGCAACUCAAGACAAGACAAGCCCAAAAAUCUUAGAAAAAGUGCCCUAAAGCAGAUACCAGUACUGCUCAAUCAUUAUCAUGAAUCUUGUGGUCUGGGAUGCUGCUUUUCUAAAAUGUAUACCCCUAGAAACCAGGAGCUAGAUGACCAUCACAACUUCAAUUAAAAAAAAAAAAAAGAUGGAGUUUUGUGUCAGAUAGGAGAGACAAAUCUGACAAAGACCAACUUACUUGGCAGUUCAAAAUCAUAAAGAGAAGAAAAUGAACCCAAAGUUGUUUUGUUUCAAAGUUGGUACUGCAAUUUGGAUGCUGUUGGGCAACAAAUGAGCUUAGAAGAUGUGAUGUGGGGUGGAGGAGACAGUGGGCAUGGGAAAGGGCCGAGAGGAUGGGUAGAUGUUGAGGCUCAUCUCUGUUCACUUUAACAAGGCUGUCAGUCUGGGGAGGGUUAAAUGUUUCCAGGGGAAUGGAAACUCAGCUCCAGCCUUGUCAGAGCUCUGACGUGUCAACACAUAUAAAAUAAACAGACGUGGAGCGCUAAGAUAAUGCACAUGCACCAGGUCUGUGCAAUGUCGGGAUCAUUUUGGUUCACUUCACAAAACUAUUAUCCCUUUUUGACUUGCACAGUAAGCCAAUUUUAAAUGUCCUGUGGACUGUUUCAUUUAGGAGAAAUAAAGCUGAUAAUGGAGCCCUGUAUUUCCUUACUGUAGCCCUGCUUUAUUUACAAUGAAGGUACAUGAAACCCUGUGUCCUUGGACAAAGCAGGAAUGAAACAGCAAGAAACGGCUCCUUUGUUCACAAUUGCGAGUUAGCAUUUAGUCUGAAAUCUUUUUCUCUUAUGUUCUUUCAUUCUUGUCUUUUCCCUUAGCACUAUGUGUUUUUUCAUAAACCAGAUGAAAGUAGAAGUUUUGUUUACUUUUACUUAAAAACAAAAAUAUCUUCUAGGAAACUUAGGAAGCAAGCUGUACUAUGAACAGCAGAAGGAAUGUAAUGAGAGUUCCUAUAAAUUUGUACCCACUGUCCCCAUAGUUAUUUCCACUCAGAGCCCAGACAACACAGACACUGAACAUCUGGCUGAUAUCCGCUCGCAGUUUGAUGUGAUGGUAUACCAAACUGGAUAAAAAGCUGUUAAAUGCACACUGCGACAUUUUCCUCAGCAAGUUCCUAGCUUGGAUGCCUUUGUUUGGUCACUGAUUUUCAUGAAACUUGGAAGAAUUUGUUGUCUUUGUGACUUUCACUGUAUAAAGUAAAGAGACUGCUGGACAGAAAACCUUGUCUCAUGUCUUAUUUCCUUAGGAAAGCAAGAUGAAAAUGGAUGAAUAAAAAAUAAAACCACCUUUCUUUUUUAUUAAUAUUAUUUAAAUCAGCUAAAGAAACAAAGAAACAAUAGAAGGAGGAAGAGAGAAAGGGAGGCAAAAAUACAGGAAAUGAAGGAAAAACUACAUUUGAAGCCAACUUGAGAAGAGAAAGAAAAAAGCAACAGAGGAGAAAUCAAGAUGAAUAAUCAAAAAUAAUCUACAGAUAUAAAUUAGGUAAAAGAAUUUUACUCUGCUUAUUUUAUAAAAUGAAUUAAAGCUGCCUUGCAAAUAGCAGUGCAAUUAAAUCACAUUUUUCUGUUGAAGUCAAACAUAAAAGAAUAAUAAAAUUUAGUUGUGCCAUCUGCAGAAACAGCUGUCAAAUGUCUGCUAUCUCUGUUUAUUUUGGUAGAAAUGAGCGAGUUGGGGCCAUUGUCUGUAAGUACAACAUAUAUAUAAUUAGAUUAAGAGGCAAGGUGUCAUGAUACCAUCCUUUCUAGAGCCUGUUUUUGCCAGGUGCUUAAAUGUUCAUGUUCCAAAAGGGUUUUGGCUGAAAAGAUGCAUCUCACGCUGUGGUCAAAGACCCAGUGUCGAGGUUUGCAGCAGGGCUGAGGGCAGCGGCUUUUCCAGGAGCUGUCAGAGAGAGGCAUCGGGUCCAGCCCAGGUUCUCAGCUCAGCCCCAGCCUGAUGGGCUGCAGGGCCAAGGGAUCUCCAGUCACCUCUGUGCUCCAUCUUACUUCUCUGAGAUCAAGGCCUGCCAUGUCCUCCAGAGUAUCUGCUGCCACAGGGCUUGGGAUUCAAGAGAGGGAGUGCCACAACUGCUCCGUGGGGUCACAGAAAGCAGCACCUAACUGAGUAACGUGGCACACCAGUACC